UCCGCUUUUUAGCGGGGGCCGCCGUGUGAACGAAUCCGAAAAUCAUAUAUCUGUUCUGUGUAGAUCCGCAGAUGUUAUACAAUAUGCCGGAGUAGUAGCAAUCUGACCCAUUCAAAGGUCAAGCCGAUACGCGCUAAUCUGACUUCCGAUCCAAGUGCAAACUCCCCAUCUUCCACCUCCUCCUCCUCCUCCUCUUUCCCUGUUAUCACUUUUCACUAGCUAGUGGAACAGCAAAAACAUAUUAGAAAAGUACAAAAUACAAAUUACAAAAUGGGUUGCAUGCGCUAUUUGACGGAGGCUCAUUUGAGGGGCUUCGAGCGUUACAAGUACAGCAGUAUAGACACGAGUUUCCUCAGUGUCUAUGUGAUGCACCCGUUCUGGAACUACUGUGUGAAGGUAAGUUAUAAAUACCCAUUACCAUUUAUACAUUUUAAGUCACAUUACAUAUUCCAGUUUGUUCCCAAAUGGCUGGCGCCCAACGUUCUCACCUUCGUGGGAUUCCUGAUGACUGUCGUCAACUUUAUCCUGAUAGCUUACUAUGACUGGGGCUUUAAAGCAGCUAAUCCACCGACGGGCAACACGGUGCCUUCUUGGGUGUGGACAGUGGCGGCCAUAAACAUUUUGAUUUACUAUAACUUGGAUGGCAUGGAUGGCAAGCAGGCUCGAAGAACUGGAACGAGUGGACCUUUGGGAGAGCUAUUCGAUCAUGGCUUGGACUCCUAUUCAGCUGCUCUGAUACCCAUUUACCUGUUCUCCCUGUUCGGCACAGACGAUUUGCCCCCAAUUCGUAUGUUCUUUGUGAUCUGGAACGUCUUUCUCAACUUUUAUUUAACGCAUGUGGAGAAGUACAACACUGGAGUUAUGUUUUUGCCCUGGGGUUAUGACUUUACCAUGUGGGGAGUUAGUGGAAUGCUAUUUUUGGCAACUGUCUUUGGACCUGGAAUCUAUCGGUUUGACUUUUACGGCUUUACAGUGGCCAAUAUGUUUGAGGUGGUUCUUAUUGGUUCGGGCAUGGUCAGCAGUCAUCCGAUUAUUGCUAGAAAUAUCUAUCUUUCCUAUAAAAACAAGACGGGAAAAAUGCGUCCUAUGUGGGAGAUGCUGCGUCCAUUUUUCGCGUUCGUCUGGCUUUUUGUGAUCACUCUUAUCUGGUCGUUCUUUUCUCGAAAUAAUGUCAUCAAUCUGGAGCCUCGUAUUCUAUGGAUACUCUAUGGCACGAUAUUCUCAAAUAUUGCUUGCCGAUUGAUUGUGGCCCAAAUGUCGGACAUGCGUUGCGAUGCCUUCAAUGUGCUCAUGUGGCCACUGGCCGCCACAGUGGGUGUCUGCUGCUUUCCCUAUUACCAGGAGGUCUUCGACACAGAUCUUUCGGCGGAUGUGGAAAAAUGGAUAGUCCAGGGACUCACCAUUUUCUCAACAUUAGCCCACUGGCACUACGGCUACGGUGUGGUAUCGGAGAUGUGCGACCACUUCAACAUUCGCUGCUUCAAAGUAAGACAAUCUAGCGGCCAAUCGGUCUCAGAUUCAACUCAACCACUUCUACAGAACAAUAACAAAUUCAAAACGUUGAAAAGCCAUUGAAAUCGCCCACUAACCAAAAUCACAUCAAACAAAAACGGGGACAACCAAAAAUCAACCAUCUUGUGAUAUAAAGUAUAUAUAUAUUAUAUAUAAAUGGGUUCCAAAAAACAUUUAGCCCUCGCCUAAUGUCUAGGUUCUAAGUGGUCCAUACUCAAAUCAAAACACUAAAAACGAUACUCGCCCCACGCGGUUUCUAAUGUGAUCACGAAACCGGCUGUCACCGCUGAGGAUGAGCUGAAGGAGGUUGUUGAAGAGCCCAAGCCCACGGAA
Molecule: non-coding RNA, 1845 nt
Organism: Drosophila takahashii
Lineage: Eukaryota; Metazoa; Arthropoda; Insecta; Diptera; Drosophilidae
Source: RefSeq, a predicted model, not a curated record